UACGUAGGGGGCUAGCGUUGUCCGGAAUCAUUGGGCGUAAAGAGCGUGUAGGCGGUCCGGUAAGUCCGCCGUGAAAGUCGGGGGCUCAACCCUCGAAUGCCGGUGGAUACUGUCGGGCUAGAGUGCGGAAGAGGCGAGUGGAAUUCCUGGUGUAGCGGUGAAAUGCGCAGAUAUCAGGAGGAACACCUAUUGCGAAGGCAGCUCGCUGGGACGUUACUGACGCUGAGACGCGAAAGCGUGGGGAGCAAACAGG
Molecule: ribosomal RNA, 253 nt
Filed under: uncultured bacterium
Lineage: Bacteria
Description: partial 16S ribosomal RNA
Rfam family: Bacterial small subunit ribosomal RNA
Source: RNAcentral